GAGAUGGUAGCUCAGUGGUAGAGUGCACGCUUUGUAUGUGUGAUGUCCUGAGUUCAAUCCCCGGCUUCUCU
Molecule: transfer RNA, 71 nt
Filed under: Dallia pectoralis (Alaska blackfish)
Lineage: Eukaryota; Metazoa; Chordata; Actinopteri; Esociformes; Umbridae
Description: tRNA-Thr
Rfam family: tRNA
About the family: Transfer RNA (tRNA) molecules are approximately 80 nucleotides in length.
Source: RNAcentral